AAAAAGUCAAACAUAAGGUCAAACAUCACAUCCUGUUGAGCUCUUCUAUACGGUUACAGGAACGCAGAAGCCCUAAAAAAGAAUUUGGGUUCAAGAUCAAUUUCUAAUAGCUGCAACCUGAAAGUUGUAAAAUUAGGGUUCGUCUUUGAAUUUCCAAUAUUUCCAUCCUCUUGUUCUGAAAGAGUUACGGUUUUCUAUCACUCAAAUUCUAAUUUGUUUAAUCAGAUACAUAUAAUUCCGGCAUUAAUCAAGACAAUUGAGGUUUUCAUCAUAAGUCGCAGAUCAAUGGAGCGAAAACGAGCUUUUGCUUCGUUAGAUGGUAGAAAGAGACAGCGAAUGUUGGAAUUAGAGAAGAUUACAAUCGACUUUCAGAGAGAAUUGGAGCAGCAGAAGAAGCAGAAACUUGAGAAGCUGCAAGCUCAGAUUUCAAAGAUAACGCUUACAGAUAAUCAAGACAUUGAUUUUAUGCAGAAUGUAAGCAGAUAAUCUGGCAUUCAUCUUCAGUUCUUUUUCUUUUUUGCUUCAUUGAGUUUCUGCUUUUGAUAAUUUCGUUUUUGAGACAUAAUCAAAUCAUAAUCGUAUACUAAUUUCAUAAAUUGUGAAUACAAUUGAAUCAUAGAUUUAAACUGGAUCUGGGAAAAGCUCAUCUUUAAGCGAAGGAGCGAUCCAUUGAAUCUGAAUAUAAGUGAUUUCCCACAAAUCAUUCCCUUCUUGAGGUACCAAUAUUUCCUUCUCUUGCAUAGUCUGGAUCAUCUUCUUCAAUAAACCAGGAACAAGUUCUCGCAUCUUCGAUUCUCCAUAAACCCCAAGAUCUGCUUUCAUAACACUAUCCAUUCUUCUCAACAUACUCAACCAAAACGUCUUGAAUCCAGGGCUCUCCACCAGCACCUUCAAGAAUUGCAGAUAAACAUCCACAAAAAACUCCAUAGCCAACUUCAAUGUCCCUUCCAUGCUCCUCGUUUCCCUCUCUGCGUUCUCUCUCGUGGAAUAUUCCAACAUCUUCUCGUGCACAUCAUCCACCAGUGCAAAAAUCACCAAAUUGAAACAUUGCAUGAUGUUGUUUGGAGUGAAGUAAAGCUCAUCAGCGUUUAUGAAGCUUUUAUGGAGGGAGGUAACCGCGUAGUUUCUUACCUCUUCUCGUCUCGCUAAACUCGUCUUCCUCAAAACUUCUCCAACCUUCACGAACAGAUUCAUUGACAUGUUCAUGGUUCCGAGAGCUUUCGUGUUAUCAUCAAUGGACGCCGAACUGUUUAUGCUCGAAUUACUCCCCGGAUCCGAGUAACCGUUUCUCGACCAUUGGACUAUCAAUUUCACCGAAUCCGCCAUUAAAUCCAUCAGCUUCAUGUUCUUAUCCACCGGACUGUUUCUCAACGCGACAAAUCCAAACGCACAAUCGAUACAAGAUGGGUAAUUUGUAACUGAAAUCCCCGAACCAUCUGCCAUUAGGUUUAUUAGCGCUUUGACACCACGUUCAUAACUCUCCGGAUGUCGACCUGUGAUUGACAACAAAUGAAGAACAGUUUUCCACCCUAAUUGAGACAAUAAAUUCCCUGAAUACUUGUUUAAAAUCUUCGUAACCGAUUGGAUUAUGAAAUCGUUACAAGUAUCGAGAAUCUCCCGUUCCAAUUUCCACAUCAUGUUUAUCGAUUUGAAAAUAAGUUCUUCAGCAACCUUUUCAUUCGACCUAGACGCAAGAAGCUUCAAGCAGAUUCUUAUCAGCGCAACAAUGGCUUUUUCUGCAAACGGAAUCGGUGAAAAAGUCGGCAAUUGAACGACAGUGAGAAGAUACUCAUUAUAAGUCGGCCAGAAUUGUGUAAGCCGGUGGACAUUACAAGACGCCAUCGCUUGAAUCAAAUCCCAACAAAACUGAACCGUUUCCUCUUCUUCCACCGGAGUAUUAAACUUCUGCCCUUUUCCCGCCGCCGCAAAAAUCAACGACCGGCCAAGGUUUAGCAACGGAUCGAGCGGUAAUGUCGAACUCUUACUGAAAAUACUUCCGAUUUGACAUUGUUGAAUAACUUUCAAAUUCUGUUCGAAUUCACUUAUCCCAAGGUUUAACGACUCUUCUAGAUUCUCCAUUGAUAAACAAUGAGAUAUCGCCGCCAUUAAAUUAGAGGUGUUGAUCUUUCCCGUUUGAUCUUUGCUAAUCACCGAUUCCGAUUCCCCCCGUCUAUGCAGGCGGCCAUUGGCGGUAGAACUCCCGACAUCGACCACCGAUUGUGGCAACAAUUUAAGUUUUUUUAAUUUCAAUAAACAAUCAAUAAUACUCCUCCAUCCUCCCCUAAUUGAAUUCUUGAAAUUAUUAGCGACAGUGAAAACUGCAAGUGUCGCCAUUCGUGGCUUCAAAUCAUGCCCAAAUGAAAACAAAGUUUCUUCAGCUGAAGCAUACGGAUUCAACAAAGUUGUAAAUUUACAAAACGAGGAUAUAAGUUCAUCUAAAGUAUCUUCAAGUCCAUAUUGACAAAUCCUCGCAAUUGCAAAUAAUCCUUCAAUGCAUUCAUGAAUAAUUUCUUCAUCUUCAGCAUGUUCAAAAAUAGCGGAAAGUGUCGCUACAGAUGGGCCCGCAAUCACCGCAAACAUAUCUCUCCCGAUCCUCCGAUCGAAUCCACACUUGACAUACGGUAGGAUUAAGUUCGAUUUGUUUAUGAGUUGGAUCCAACGGCUAGGAUUCAUCUCGAUCGGGGAACCGGUUUGACCAAAGAUCGUGAUUGCUUUACUCGCGAUCGAUUGGAAAAGAUCCGAUAGGUAUUCGCGCGGGAGAUCGUUGCCUCCGUUUAUCGCGCGAUUAUUUCUUAUAAAUUCCUCUUCGGUCAUUUUCUUUUUGACUUGCGGGUUAUGUUGAUCAGUGUUUAACAUGAUGACCGAAUAACAUAAUAUGAAAACCGCGUCUUUACUCACAAAAAUUUCCGAUGAUUGUUGAUUGUAAAAACGUUCGGAAAAUGCUUCUAGAAUUCUAUGGAUCUUUUGCGAUUCACCCGGGAGGCGGAAUGUUUCUAGAUAUGUUCGUAAAGCAGUGUCGAGUACCAACCCGGUUAACUCGAAUGACUCGGUGAAUUCUUUGAGGACUUUGAGAUUAAACUCACCCGGGUCACCAAGAAAGUCACCGAUUUUGACUUUAUCGAGGCCCGGAGUGUACCGAAAAAACAUUGCGUAGCCUCUCGGGUCAGGGGAAUCGGAAAUUAGCUUUGAUAUUUUCAAAUAAUCCAACCCUUUUUUAUCAUCGCGAUUGAAAUGACUUCCUGCGAUCAUUAUCUUUCUCUUUUGCGCCUUUCUGAGUCGUACCGAGUCAAUCCAUGUUUCCGACUCGGUACCUUCCACCGGGGUUUCCUCCCAAAACGGUUUAUAAUCGGUAAUCUCAACCGGGUAUGGGCCUGUACCCGAGUCGGUUUGUUUAUCGACAAAAUCAGCGAUAUUAUGGAUUAAAACCAUAAGCCCUUCGAAAGAUUGAAAUUGUAAGCUCGUGGGAGCGGUUCCACCUGAUAAAAAUGCGUGUUUGCAAAGAGUUUUUCCGAUUUCUUCGAAAAUAUUGUUAAACAUCGGAUCACAAUCGUAAUUUAUGUAGGCUUCGAUUAUGAAAGUUGGUUGUCUGCAAAAGUUUAUAAUCCCUUCGAUUGCAAGUUCUUGGAGUUGAAUUGAGUAACCUUGGUUUGCGGUUUUGAAUAAAACGAAUAGAAAGAAUGCCUCGAGCUGUAAACGGAUCGAUUUCCGAUGGAAAUAAUAGAUGUUGAAAACCGUACUGCAAAUCAUCGAGAACACAAGCGGGCUUGAAGAUGUUCCGUAAUGGAUUAAAUGAUGGAAAAGAUCAUCUUUAACCAUUCGUAAUAGCUUCUUGUGUUUUCCGAUUCCGUCCCCGCUCAAUUCCAACGCCGAGUUGAUUAACACAAGCGCGAAAACUUGCACAUCUUCGUCCGCAGUUAACGACGGAGACCCGUCGGAAUCAACGAUUCCUACGACGUUAAGUAGCGAACAAAGGAAGUGAAAUAUGUCAACCGCACACCGAAUUCCAUACCCGGUUUCAUCCGUCGCGUCUUCGGUAUCUGACUCUGAAUUCUCCCAAUCCCCGACUUCAAUCUCCAAGAGCCGCGAAAAUAUAAUUUGUAUCAAAUCAUGCAUCGUAUGGCGGGCGGUUCUUUGUAAGAGAUCACCUUGGUUGGCUGCCUGCUGAACAACUUGAAAACACGUGUUGACGAUCGUGCACACUGCAUGAUCAUUAAGGAGGACGGAGGCAACAUGGCGCAUCACCGCCGCUAAAACCUGCAAAAUCCUCAUCAUCACGGCGGCUUCCGUCACCGGAUGUGUCUUUUCGAGGCGGCAUCCGGUGACCGCCAUGACAACGUUUGACACUGCUUCACGAGCUCCCGGUGUUUUCUUGUCAAACAUAUCGAGUUUUAGCAUCUUUAAAAUGGAGGAGAGGGCAACUGCGGUGGCGGCGGCGGGUACAUCGUCAGAGGAGAUGACGUCGAGAAACGGGGAGAGGUAGAUUGACGGAUCGACUGCCCGCCAUGAUUGGCGGGGAUUGAAGAUUAGUGAUCUUAGUGAUUUUAAAGAACUCAAUAUAUUUGAAUCCAAGGCGUCGUCUAGGUAAAUAUAUGAGGAUGGGUCAGAUCUGCGGCGGAUUACUGCUAGAACUGCCCCGACCUCUGUAUUUAACAUACAUGAGAUUCCCAGCUCUUUUGAUUUUCUGAUUUUGAUUGUUUUGUCAUCUUCCUCGUCCUCGUCAUCUUCCUCAUCCUCAUCAUCAUCUUCGUCAUCGUCUUCCUCCUCUUCCUCCACCUCCUCUUCUUCUUCGUUUUGUUUCCCCAUUUAAUUCACCGAUUUGAAUAGUGACGGAAUCUCUUUUGCAAUGGGAGCAUAUGAAAUUACCAUUUUUUUUGUAAAGAUUUACUCUGUUGAAGUGAGGAUAAUGUGUGAAGGACAGGGGUAAUUUGGGAAUUUAGUAUGUGAAACUAGGUGUAAAAGGAAGAAAGAAAGAUGGGUAUGGUGGUGUGAGGUAAAACAAGAGGAUGAACCGAAUGGUAGUACCUAAAAUUACUCUUUAUAUUUUGGUUUUCAGUGGCUAUAAUUCAGUUUUUGAAUAUUUCUACCUCUAAUCUCUCACUUCUAAAAUUAUAGUUUUUAUUUAUUUAUUUAUUUAUUUAUUAUUAUUUUUUUAAAUCCUUUUAACCAACAUAUAAAGCAAUUUUAUUUGUUAAUAUCAUUAAACCAAAAUAUGAACAAAUUAUUCUCAUAAUACAUUACUUGACAAUAAUGAUGAAGAUCAUUUUUUGAUCAAAUAAUGGUAAAUUUAUAUGUAAAAUUUAUCAUUAUUUGAUCAAUUAUUUGAUCAAUAGGCUAUUUUGGGAAAGCCUAGAGCCACGGGGAAUCAUAUAUGGGCGUGGCCACGGUUUUAACGUGAAGAUAAUGAUCAAGACCCUCAAUUCCCGAUUCUUUUCCAAACCCACUCAUUUUAUACCCUCCAUGAGGGGCAUCUUUGUCA
Molecule: long non-coding RNA, 5476 nt
Filed under: Lactuca sativa (garden lettuce)
Lineage: Eukaryota; Viridiplantae; Streptophyta; Magnoliopsida; Asterales; Asteraceae
Description: long non-coding RNA (LSAT_LNC005684)
Source: RNAcentral